GGGGUUGUGGCUCAGUGGUAGAGCACUUGCCUUGCACGUGUGAGGAACUGGGUUCAAGUCUCAGCAUCACAU
Molecule: non-coding RNA, 72 nt
Organism: Ictidomys tridecemlineatus (thirteen-lined ground squirrel)
Lineage: Eukaryota; Metazoa; Chordata; Mammalia; Rodentia; Sciuridae
Source: Rfam